RNAcentral lists this ribosomal RNA (256 nucleotides) under uncultured bacterium. RNAcentral's name for it is "partial 16S ribosomal RNA". It matches the Rfam family "Bacterial small subunit ribosomal RNA", at positions 524 to 776 of the family's 1533-position model. The record is from RNAcentral.
UACGGGGGGAGCAAGCGUUGUUCGGAUUUACUGGGCGUAAAGGGCGCGUAGGCGGUCGUGACAAGUCACUUGUGAAAUCUCCGGGCUUAAACUCGGAACGGUCAAGUGAUACUGUCGGACUAGAGUACAGAAGGGGCAACUGGAAUUCUCGGUGUAGCGGUGAAAUGCGUAGAUAUCGAGAGGAACACCUGCGGCGAAGGCGGGUUGCUGGGCUGAUACUGACGCUGAGGCGCGGAAAGCCAGGGGAGCGAACGGG